UCAAUAAUUUCUUGACUCAGUCUCCCACUUCUAGUAAAAUAUUUCCAGUUUUUGAGAGCAAAACAAGACUACCUACUUUUAGGAUGCUCCAAACCCUAAUAAAGAGAAGGUGGAAACUCUUCGGAGGAGUUGGAAAAGUUGCAGAAAGAGAACGAAACUCUUAAAUUAAUGCUUCAAGUGAUUAGCAGCAAGUACAAAUGCUUCAUCAACAUCUCUCAAAUAAGAGCCUCAGACCAGAGGUCAGUCAGCAGCAGCCAGCUGCUCGCAAGUUUUCGUGGAAACAAAUCCUGGGGACGAAACCCUCAGAGUUGAAGAUGGAUUUCAAUGGAGGAAAUACGGACAGAAAGUCACAAAAAAUAAUCCAUCCCCUCGAGCUUAUUUCAAGUGUUCAAUGGCUCCCGGAUGCCCUGUAAAAAAGAAGGUUCAACGAUGUUUGGAAGACAAGCUUUUCUGAUGGCAACAUAAGAAGGACAACACAACCAUGACGUUGAUCCUACAAUAGGACUAUCUUCGACUUCCCCCGGAAGCUCCGCGAUAAUCUCCGCUACAACGUCGAAGUCUGAAUUUCGUGUUUCCGGUUCUCAAUAACCCUUUCGACCAAGCAUCACUCUUGAUCUCAAUCUAUCAGGCUCUAACCAUGAAAAACUGCAGAAACGAUGUAACUAUGACGAGAAUAGAAUUGAAGACUAUGCUGCAACCUUAGCAAAAGAUCCUAAUUCACUGUAGCUUUAGCGGCAGCCGUUGCUCGCUACAUCGCGAGCACCCUAAACCACCAACUCCAUAAACUCCGAUGAAAAUUGAAUUUCUUAAAAUUAUUAGGUAAGGGUUUUGUUA
Long non-coding RNA from Hibiscus syriacus, 834 nucleotides. RefSeq lists it as uncharacterized. NCBI's taxonomy places the organism in Eukaryota, Viridiplantae, Streptophyta, Magnoliopsida, Malvales, Malvaceae. The transcript has 4 exons. The record is from RefSeq and is a predicted model, not a curated record.